Non-coding RNA from Gasterosteus aculeatus aculeatus (three-spined stickleback), 2531 nucleotides. NCBI's taxonomy places the organism in Eukaryota, Metazoa, Chordata, Actinopteri, Perciformes, Gasterosteidae. The record is from RefSeq and is a predicted model, not a curated record.
GCGUGGUAGGAACACGCGUGUCUGCUGGAAUCCACAGUGUGCCGAUAACAAAAAGUUUGAUGUUAUUGCUGCUUCCUUAGCUAGAAGACACAAUGACGUUGCACUCAAUGUUUUUUUUCUAACUUUAUUGAGAAAUUUGCACAACACAACGACUUGAAAGUAGCACAGUGUCUUAAAUAAAGUCAUGUAUCUGUUUUUUAUCUCGGCAAUUUUCUUCCUUGGCUGAAUUUAUAAAUUAACAUAAAGGGAUUCUGUAUUUAAUCAUAUAGAAUGAAACUGGUCAUUGGGCCAAUGUUUCGAUAACUUUCCACAGCCAGUCUGACUAAUCAAAGCGAACAACGUGUGUGUACGUACACAGACUCAUUUCAUUAAGCACUCACUGGAAAAUGGGUUCUCGGUUUAUUUAUUUACCUUUUUUAGCAUCCAAGAGUGACACGUAUAUUAUACAUACAUGGCAUGUUCAUAUCAUAUAAACGGUAUGUCAGUGAUUCACAUGUAGCACUCGUGAGCGGUCUGAUUCAAUCCAUGGCCACCUUUCACAGAGAUAAAGAGAUUCAUAGCAGUGUAUUUUCCCUCUUGAUCUCAUAGAAACGUGUGUUUUAAAUAUAAUACUAACUACUACAUUUUCCAACAUGCCUCGAGUCUUCAGUGACAGAACAUAAAGUUGUAAAAGAUACUCAUUUACAUGACAUUCGCAUAUGGAUGAGGAGGCGGGUCCAUGCCGCUACAUGCCGUUCUGAAAUUGGUCUGUGCCAUUCUGAGUAAGAAAGCAGCCACCUGUCACUUUUGUCGAUCUCGGCGUUACUGGACAUUCCCUCUCUCACCUCUUGCACAAGCAUUGACUUCUCGGUAGUUAACUUUAAACCUCAUCGAAUGAACCCGUGUUCUGCUCUCUGUUGAUCCAAAUCCCCGUAUACGUCAGAUUAAAAGUACUUGCAGGAGUGGCCACCAUUUCUCAACAAAAGUCGCCAUUGGGUAAUUCAUUUCUUUAAGGUGUGUUGUUGUCAUGGCAGCAUAGCCAGGCCCAGGUGUCUGACUAUUCAGACUAUUACGACACAUUACUGAUGACUGCAUCCCUUUAGCCCAGUCAUACCUUAUCAUUACACUAUAAGGGAGAGUCCAAAUGAACAAGACUUCACAGGACCUUGAUGACCUCUAAAAAAAAUGCUCUGUACUGAAAGACGUCACUUUUCCUGUUGGGAUCCGUAUACGCGUGCUGAUUGCUACACUAUUUCCUCAUGUUGAAGUUGUCGUAUUUGACAAAGUGACACACCGUCUAUCCACAAUGGAAUAUGGUCAGGGCGGAGUUUGGAUUUUUGAGCAGGAGAUACAAGACACAUUCUAAUUCAAGCGGCAUAGUGGGUGGAUUUAACUUUUAAGUAAGUUGUAUUAAACAAAUGCUCAGGCUGUCGUCCAAAUCUGCUAAAUGAGUCUAAUAAUUAAAAUAAUCACUUCAUCAAAUGGCUGGCCAAAGUGUGCAGUCUCUCCAGGAAAACAAACAAAAACCAGAGGGGCCAAAUGAAGUGAGUUUGUUUAUGAACUAAAGUAUAUGUGUGUGUGUGUGUGUGUGUGUGUGUGUGUGUGUGUGUGUGUGUGUGUGUGUGUGUGUGUGUGUGUGUACGAGAUGGCGUCCAGUUACAAUCUCUAUCUCACACACAGGAAACCUGAGGACCGUUUGGGUCAUCCUUUUACCAGCAGACUCUGUAGCGUUUAAGCCAGUACUCGGUGAAACUCCAUCCCUGCAGGUUUAAUAUUUAAAGACUGCUCAGGAUCAAUGCGUUCUUUGCGUUCCCGGUCAGAAGAAGCUCUCAGACCAGAGUGAAUCACACCGAUGGGAUCAGACCAGAUCUUGGACAAUAUUGCAUAUUUUCCAACACUAAGACCAAAAACAAGAGCAGCCAACUCCUAGUUAUAUACACAAUGUAUGUGAACUCAUCUGGAGCAGAGAAUGGAUCUUAUUCACUGACCUUCCUGGGAAAGAAAGUAGGGAGACAUCACUCUGUGGCCCCCGCAGGCAAGCAAAACGCCUGGGCGACAACAGACAGGUCUGACUGCCAUGACGGCCCAGUGUCCUCCUCUCGGCCUGGACGGGCCCCCGUCACAGCCCACGUGCAGGAGGAUUUACCGGGCAGCAUUCCAGAGCUGAAGGACGAGUCUGCAAUAGUUGACAACACUCAGCUCGAGCAGCACACGGGCAGCACUGCAGGUGUUUCUGAGAAAAAAGUCGCAGCGUGACGGCACACCCACAUUCCUGUCUGAGGCAACGCAGAGGGGGGAGGGAGGGACCGAGGGGAAUGUAAGAGACAACUGUGUUGAAAUAUUCAUAGCAGGGGCAUUUUAUGGAAUUUCCAUUUUUUUUAAUUAACCUGGUCACGCUAGUGAAUUAACAUGAAAACCAAAACCAAAACCAAAAACAUUUGACCAUGACCAAUUUAAAAUUCAAUCACAGAAUAAAUUGCACUCAAAUCUCUCAUCAUCAUAAUAAUGUAAAACAUGUUCUAAAUACUAUAAAUAAAAUGUAAAUGGUUUAA